UCCUUCAUUCCACCGGAGUCUGUGUCUUUAACCAAUCAGAUUUCAGUGGUGUGAAGUGUA
RNAcentral lists this microRNA precursor (60 nucleotides) under Lepisosteus oculatus (spotted gar). RNAcentral's name for it is "Loc-Mir-205-P4_pre stem-loop". It matches the Rfam family "mir-205 microRNA precursor family", at positions 9 to 68 of the family's 75-position model. Lineage: Eukaryota; Metazoa; Chordata; Actinopteri; Semionotiformes; Lepisosteidae. The record is from RNAcentral.